UUACAGGGAGGUAGUGACAAGAAAUAACAAUACAGGACUUUUUGGUUUUGUAAUUGGAAUGAGUUAAGUAUAAACCCCUUUACAAGUAUCAAUUGGAGGGCAAGUCUGGUGCCAGCAGCCGCGGUAAUUCCAGCUCCAAUAGCGUAUAUUAAAGUUGUUGCAGUUAAAAAGCUCGUAGUUGGAUUUCUGUUAAUAAUUUAUAUAAAAUAUUUUGAUGAAUAUUUAUAUAAUAUUAACAUAAUUCAUAUUACUAUAUAUUUUAGUAUAUGAAAUUUUACCUUGAGAAAAUUAGAGUGCUUAAAGCAGGCAUAUGCCUUGAAUACUCCAGCAUGGAAUAAUAUUAAAGAUUUUUAUCUUUCUUAUUGGUUCUAAGAUAAGAAUAAUGAUUAAUAGGGACAGUUGGGGGCAUUUGUAUUUAACAGUCAGAGGUGAAAUUCUUAGAUUUGUUAAAGACAAACUAAUGCGAAAGCAUUUGCCAAGGAUGUUUGCAUUAAUCAAGAACGAAAGUUAGGGGAUCGAAGACGAUCAGAUACCGUCGUAGUCUUAACCAUAAACUAUGCCAACUAGAGAUUGGAGGUUGUUCCUUACUCCUUAA
This 595-nucleotide ribosomal RNA is filed under the name Cryptosporidium parvum. Its description in RNAcentral is "SSU rRNA". It matches the Rfam family "Eukaryotic small subunit ribosomal RNA", at positions 454 to 1074 of the family's 1831-position model. Lineage: Eukaryota; Apicomplexa; Conoidasida; Eucoccidiorida; Cryptosporidiidae. The record is from RNAcentral.